This is a long non-coding RNA of Chelonia mydas (Green sea turtle), 1291 nucleotides long. RefSeq lists it as uncharacterized. Lineage: Eukaryota; Metazoa; Chordata; Testudines; Cheloniidae. The transcript has 6 exons. The record is from RefSeq and is a predicted model, not a curated record.
GUGCAUUACCCUGACUGGCUACCGAGUGUCAGUGUUGCUCCGUGAGGGAAAUUGUUGGUGCAUUACCUAGAGUGGCCACCGAGUGUCAUUGUUGUUGAUCUAUGAAGAUCUAAUGGGAGAGGGAGAAGAACCACCGACACAACAUUGCAGAUUCCAAUGAUAACUUUUGUUUUUCCCUCUUGUGUUGUGCUUCGUGUCAAGGGUAAGAGCCCACCCCUGUUGUGAGAUGGAAAGCGUACAAGAGCCAUGAGACACUGAACAUUGUUGAUGCCAGGCUACGGUGAUGCCGUCUAGCUGGAAGCAGAGCAGCCAUCGCUGUCAGUACGAUAAGUGUCUGGUUUGGUGAGGAGUCUGGUUACGGCGCACCUGGCUCCAGGCAGGGACAUGCCAUUAGCUAGGUCUGUGUUUGUAAGAAAAGGUUCCUGACUAGCUGUGGCUACGAGGGAGACAAGGCCCCCAUUAUCAGGGGCUGCUCAUCUGUCUGGCCAGGAGAGGUGUGUCCACUGCAGCAAAAGGUUGGAUCCAGGAGGAUGACUGUAGCUGAGGAAUCGUCGAGCAGCAGCUGCAGGAGAAGCUGGCAGAGGUUGACCUGAGCAGCCUGGACAUUCUUGUAAGCGAAGAUUAACAGUCCUCUGCUUUCUGCCUCCCGCAUAACUGACUAGGCCUGCUCCAGGCCAGUGCAGCAGCCCCAGACAGAGGAGGAGCAUGUGGAGGAAGUGGACCUGCACAAUCUAGACAUUUCACUUGCCAAUGGAGCUGAGGAGGUCUCUUGUGAUGUCGGAGGAGCAGUUCCUCAUGAGAUUGGGUAGAUGAGAGAAUGGCCAACCUGUGGCAGAGACCUAAGAAGGAGCAGCCACCCUGAGCCCAUCCCUAGGGAUCGAAGCCAGACAGUGAUCUGCAGACAGCAACAGCACCUAAAGAAACACAACUGGUGGAUGGGUCCUAGCCUGGAGGCCUCUAGAUAGUACAGACUGUGAAGAGCAUACAUUAUGCCCGUGAUGGAUCGUCUGCACCCCAGUCGGGGAUAUUUCUGAAAGAGAGGAGGAGGACCCAAGAAUAAGAGACAGCGACCUCAUCGUUAGCUGUCCUCCUCUGUCUGUACUCACGGCAACAAGAUCGCUUGACGGACAAUUGGAGCAUCACAGAACUGUGGGGAGGGCGGUUGUGGCUGGAAGUCUUUCCAGUUAGUAUGAACUGCUGUAAGCUGUUGGGUGAGAAAACUUUUGGCUUUGAAAUGGUAUUUAGCUUGGUGAUGUUUAGGAAUUGGUUACAAAAGAAAUAAAAUGUGUAA